GAUGAACGCUGGCGGCGUGCCUAAUACAUGCAAGUCGAGCGAACAGAUGAGGAGCUUGCUCCUCUGAUGUUAGCGGCGGACGGGUGAGUAACACGUGGAUAACCUACCUAUAAGACUGGGAUAACUUCGGGAAACCGGAGCUAAUACCGGAUAAUAUAUUGAACCGCAUGGUUCAAUAGUGAAAGACGGUUUUGCUGUCACUUAUAGAUGGAUCCGCGCCGCAUUAGCUAGUUGGUAAGGUAACGGCUUACCAAGGCAACGAUGCGUAGCCGACCUGAGAGGGUGAUCGGCCACACUGGAACUGAGACACGGUCCAGACUCCUACGGGAGGCAGCAGUAGGGAAUCUUCCGCAAUGGGCGAAAGCCUGACGGAGCAACGCCGCGUGAGUGAUGAAGGUCUUCGGAUCGUAAAACUCUGUUAUUGGGGAAGAACAAAUGUGUAAGUAACUAUGCACGUCUUGACGGUACCUAAUCAGAAAGCCACGGCUAACUACGUG
RNAcentral lists this ribosomal RNA (497 nucleotides) under uncultured bacterium. Its description in RNAcentral is "partial 16S ribosomal RNA". It matches the Rfam family "Bacterial small subunit ribosomal RNA", at positions 28 to 507 of the family's 1533-position model. The record is from RNAcentral.